CAAUUUAGGCUUCUGCAUUCUCUUGAAAAUUUGAAAAACCUGGCAAUGCUGGUCAGUGUUCGCACAUGUCAACAACAGGCUGACGCUGAGCGGCAUCUGCUCCCUUUGAACCAGACAUGAACUUCCAAUUUACCCCAGUCCCCACUACUCCCUAAUGUGCUUUAAAAUACCUGCUCAAUAUCUGAGCUUGUGAUAAUUAUAUUAUUUAAAUAAAUAUUUACUGCAUUUAUAUUUAUUUAUAACAGUCAUUGCAAACUCAAAAUAUUGAGCACAAUUCCAGGGCUAGGUGGUAUCUAUUGUAACUCAAAUAAGUAAAAAAUUACAGCACUCUCACAAACAGGCAGCAGGGAUUUAAGCUGAUAAGCUGUUUGAAGAGCAAGAUGAUGGUAGGUAUUAAGUUUUAAAAAGAUAAAAUUCAUGUAAGCCAAGAGUUCUAGACAUUGAUCCGAAGAAAAUAUCUGAAGAAGUUCACUAAAAUGUUUAUAAAGAUAUUCAUCAUUGUGUUGUGUAAAAUAGGAAAUGAGAACAACAAAAUGUUCACUCUCAAAGCAUGAUUGAACAUACUGUAGCACAACCAAAAACUGUUUCUGCAGCCAUCAAAAUGGUAAAGUAGAUCUACAUGUAAUGCAAGAAAAAAGUCCAAGACAAAAUUGUUAGGCAUAAUGAACAAUCUCACCAAAACAGUAUGUGUUGUACUAUCCUAUUUUCACAAGAAAAAGACCCUCCCAAAAAAGUCUACAAAAAAAAAAAGUGUAUUUAUGUGUGUGUGUAUAUAUAUACUAAAUAUAUAUAUAAACAUAUAUAUAUACACACACACAUAUAUAAACGUCUGGGUAAGAAUAGAGUAACACAUGUAUUUCUCUGAGGUGGGAUUAUGGGCAAUGUGGAUACAUUUUCCUUUCAUAUAUUCGCAUCUUUCUAUACUGUACACACUGUUUAAAUGAGGGAAGAAAAUUAAAGUUCACCAUGAAAAAAACAUGAGCUGUGGAAGCAGAGCCCAAAUGGAAAGUGAUUGAUAGUCAUACAAGGUCACAAGACUAUCUGGAGUUUUUACAAAUUCGAAACCAAAAAAUCUAGAUGCCUAUGCUUUCUUAAAAGAAAUUACACACACACACACUCCAACACCAAAGAAAGUCCUUUUUCAACAACUUGAUCUUGAUCUUGGGUUCUGAAUUCUGAAUGAAGUCACACAGACUUAAACAAGCUGAUAGGUGGAGGAGGAAAUGAAGAGGUUCUCCCUCUCAGAUGUAAAUUCCUUCACUUGGCCAAGAAUCCAGGUGGUAAAAUACUGACUCUAUUUAAAUCCAGCCAAAGUGAUGCCUGCUGUGGCCGCAUUACAUAAGCAACAGGCUCCAUCACAGUGCACAUCUGGUCAGAAUAAAGGCCCUCUAAGACCUUCAACACAAUUAAUUCAAUAUUUUCUCUACAGUUCAAAAUGCUACAACAACUGGCAGACAACCAUCUUAAAUCAUCACAGAAAGUCAGACAUAUGGCUAAGUAUAUUUAAUAUGCUUUAAAAAUAAGCUGCGGAUUUCUAGCCAACAAGAUCUUAGGCAAGAAUUUUUCUUAUUUAUUUAAAAGUUAUGCCUACCCAUUACCUCAAAAGAAUUCAAUUCAAAAGUGAUUUCUUGAGUACCUAGAGAGGGCAGGGAUUACAAAGAGACAUAAAACAGGGAUGUUGCCUUCAAGAAUUCAAGAAACACAUAAUCCAGUAGAGGAGACACUACUGUGACUCCUGAAAUCAUGAUGUGCGUAGGGGAAAAAAAAGAGAGGGACAAAGAGGAGGAAGCAAAUCAACAACCUUGGGUGAGGAAGACCAGGGAGAACAAUAGAAGGCAAGUUAAGUGGAAUGGCUUAAAUACACAGCAGCAUGCUUCAACAAACACUUUGACACAAUAUUGUAAAUCGACUAUAUACUUUCAUAUAAAUAAAUAAGGUCUUAAAAAAACACUUUGGGAAUCCAUUUUUGAAAUUUGUGGGCCUUUCUUUGGUGGGGUCCCCAGGCAUAUUACACUAUCUCACACAGCAAUGGUACAGCCUAAGAUAUAGGUACAUCCACACACACACAGUAAAAGGAUGGGGGGGAGGAGGAACUAUAGUCAACACACUUUGAGUGUGGAAACCUAGGAUAAGGAUUUUAGAACCAAGCAGAUCAGAACUUGAAUCUCAUCUGUGUCAGCGGCCUGGGGGCCAGGAUAAAUUAUGUAACCUCUCCAGCUGAUUUUCUCAUGACUAAAAUGAGAAUGACAUCACCCUACCUAGGCAAAACCCUAACCUGGGUCUCAGGAACAGGUCAGAAGACAGUCUAUAGUAACAGUUAUGACUAUUAGUUUACCAGUCCUAAUUCAGAUGCCCGGUCUCAACCAUGAAGUUAAAACCUUAGACCUGGGUGUCUCAACUUCAGCCUGAGUGCCAGUGGGGGUGGCUGCCUCUCUGUCAUGGGGGAGCUGUAUUGUGCUUUUAGGAUGUUUAGCAGUAUCCCUGGCCUCCAUUCCCUUAAUAUCCCCAGCACCCCCCUAUUCUGGGUUGUAACAACCAACAAUGUUUCCAGAUAUUCCCAAAUGUCCCCAGGGGUCAAAAAUCACCCCCAGUUGAAAAUCACUGUUUAGAGGAACUCUUUGAUGGGUCUUCAUUUCUCAAGUAAAAAUUAUCAUGGCUCCUAGUAGGCAGGUAGAUAAGCACUAGAGACAUACAAGCAGAGGACAGAGUAUUUUGCAUACAUUUUCUCUUUUAAUCCUCACAACCCCUCCAUGAAGUAGGUACUAUCCUCAUUUUCAACUGGGACAAUGGAGGUUCUGGGAAGUUAACAUGCCCAUGGUUCUUCAGCUAGAGUCAGACCCAACCAGUGGGCCUCCAAACCCGUAUAACACCAAGUCCCACUGCCUCCCUAUCCUUUGCUGACUUGGAAGCCCAGGUGUGGUGCCAGGAAGGGCAGAGGACUUUGGCAUCAAGUCCUCAAGCAUCACCCUUGCUGGUACUGGCCUGUGCAGAAGCCCAGGAAGAGGAGCUAUCCUCAUUCUAUACCUUACUGGCCCUGGGUGCCAGUGACAAUCAUUAUAAUCAAUUCAUCACCAGCAACAAUGCAGAGAGAAGUUCAGGCGGCUCAGCCUUCCACCAACAUACCAUGAGAUCUAGAGCUUUCCUUCUUACUUGUCUGAACUAAUCCAGUCUCAGCCUUCUUCAAAAGUAGCAUCUAUGUCAGGCCAAAAAAAUGAGGGCUUUUUCCAGACUUGAAAAGCUCUCCUGAGAACUGUGAACCACAGUCUCUAUCUCUCAAGAGAUUCUUUCUUCUCUCCCAAGUGCUUUCUAAUAGGGAACAUGCAACCUACAACAGAAGCUAAUAUUUUUGGGAGCACUCACCAAAUGCCAGGCCCUGUGCCAUGUGGUUGACUUCGAUCUCUUCAUUUUAUUCUUCCAUCACCUCCAGAAGUAGAUAUCAUUAUCCCUAUUGGCAGAAGGAGAAGUCCUAGCACAGGGAGGUGCAGUAUCUCACCCUGAGUCACCCAGCUGAAAAGGCUGGCUUCUAAUUCAGGCCAACCUGAGUCCAAAACCUGUCAAUCUACAACACAUCGAUAAAUGGAUAUAUCUUUUUUUUUUUUUUUGGUCUUUUUGAGAGGGAGAGACAUACUAUUUCAUUAUUUAUUUAUCUUUUUAGGGCCACACUCACGCCAUAUGUAAGUUCCCAGGCUAGGGGUCAAAUCAAAGCUGGCAGCUGCCGGCCUACACCACACCUCAGAGCAACUCGGGAUCCUUAACUCACUGAGCGGGGCUAGGGAUCAAACCUGCACCCUCAUAGAUGUUAGCUGAGUUCUGAACCCACUGAACCACAAGGGGAAUUCCAAAAUGGAUAUACUCUGGAUUAUCUUCCCAGCAGCACUGGAGUCCUGUUAACACUGUAUGUAGCAAUAAUUUUGAAAUAUGGUUUAUAAUCAGGGCAUAAUGGCCUUUUAGUUGCACCAUCUUACCCCUGUCCAUAAAGAGAGCUUCCAGUCUCAUCUCACAAUGAAGAGGCUGAAAGAUUAGCCUUAUUGUGGAAAAUAUAACUGCAUCCCAUUAAAGGCGCACACUAAUGCCUCUGUUGGCAAUAACAGUGGGGCUGACACCUUUGCCGGGAGAAUGUAAUUCUCUUACGUAACUCAUUUGCACCACACUGCAGAUGGUAACAGCAAAAGUCUCUACACACAGCUUACAGAGCCUGGAAGAACCUCUUACAGUCCACUGGAGGGUGAGAGAGUGUGCAAAAGUUCCCUGACACACUCUGCACAGUGUGCUGCCCUAAAUCCCUAAAAUAAAGACCAAUGGAAAUAGCCUAGCAAUGCUCACUGUCUUCAAGACUAUUCCCAGAUCAAUAGUGAAGCUCUCUUUAGCCCAAGCCCUAGACUGCAAAUGUUAACCUCUUAUCAAGCUUAAUGCAAUCCAAUACAAAGUACCUACAUUUGCAGAGUUUCAAACAUUAGAAUUUUCAGAGACAAACAAGCUCAGGAGAGAUGUAUGCUAGUUCUAAAUUUGACAGUGGACAUUCAAGACACUAGAGCAGGAGUUCCCAUUGUGGCUCAGCGAUAAUGAACCUGACUAUGAUCCAUGAGGAUUCGGGUUCAAUCCCUGGCCUCGCUCAGUGGGUUGGGGAUCCGGCAUGGCCAUGAGCUCUGGUAUAGGUCACAGACGAGGUUCAGACCCCACGUUGCUGUGGCUGGCAGCUGCAGCUCUGAUUCAACUCCUAGGCUGGGAACUUUCAUAUGCUGCUGGUGUGGCCUUCAAAAGAAAAAAGGAGAAGAAAAAGAAGAAAAAAAUACUUCAGGAACAGAUCAACAACAGCCCGGCCCUCUCAGAGCUUAUAUUCGAGAAAGAGGAAAAAAGAAGGAACUCUAGUUAUACUGAAACAAUGUACAUAUUAUAAAGCAAAGCAGAGAAAGGGAAUAAUGAAUGAGGACAAGACAACUGGGAAAGACUUUAAAUUCAUAAGGGAGUAACCUUGCCAGAUGUCCAGGUGGGGAUCAGCAAGCCAUGGAUGUGGAAAGACAAGUCACAAGUCACCAGGCAGAUCAUGGCCGUGGGCAGGGGGUGGAGUUGGUUGAUAAAGGGAGCUUUGGAGUUCCUGAGAAGACUGUGGUUUUCAUUCUGAGAGGGACUAGAAAAAUGAUUCUAAGUAAUGGAUUACUC
Molecule: long non-coding RNA, 5160 nt
Filed under: Sus scrofa (pig)
Lineage: Eukaryota; Metazoa; Chordata; Mammalia; Artiodactyla; Suidae
Description: lncRNA (ENSSSCG00050009261.1)
Source: RNAcentral